RNAcentral lists this ribosomal RNA (1436 nucleotides) under Brassica napus (rape). RNAcentral describes it as "SSU rRNA". The stretch from base 204 to 1436 matches the Rfam family "Eukaryotic small subunit ribosomal RNA". The record is from RNAcentral. Lineage: Eukaryota; Viridiplantae; Streptophyta; Magnoliopsida; Brassicales; Brassicaceae.
CCUAUUGUUGCAGGAAACCUUAGUGGGAGACCGGGUAGCAUGGAAGCUGGACGUUAGGAGCAGCGGAAGUAUAUUUGCCUUUCCUUUUGUAAAACGGUAUAAAGUCUUUGACUCGAUAUUGGCACUAGGCCUGGAUCCAUCUGUAAUAUUUUACUUGUAACGAAUCUUUAUUAUAUUUAAUGAAAGUGAUGUUUUAUAUUCGUUACAAUGGUUCUCUGAUAAAUAGACUUGUCCGGUCUAAACACAACGUUUGGUUUAGGUAUGGGUUGAAAAGCCUUAGGCCGUGAUCUAACGGAAACGUUACCUCAUAGUACGGGUUGCAAAGCCUUAAGCCAUGAUUUAGCGGGACGUGUUAGUGGAUGAACUGGUCGAUGUUGCGGAUUAAGUUCUGUGACUUUGACUGGAUUGUCCCUAGCCCGUCAUGUAGCGCUUCCGGACCAUGGUGUUGGGUUGGACGGUCAGUCAUGUUCUUGUUUGAUUGUUGGCCGAUGGGUCGACCUAUGCCUAGGACGGUUCGGGGGUGUUACAGUCGGGGGCAUUCGUAUUUCAUAGUCAGAGGUGAAAUUAUUGGAUUUAUGUAAGACGAACAACUGCGAAAGCAUUUUCCAAGGAUGUUUUCAUUAACCAAGAAUGAAAGUUGGGGGUUCGAAGACGAUCAGAUACCGUUCUAGUCUCAACCAUAAACGAUGCCGACCAGGGAUCAGCGGAUGUUGCUUUUAGGACUCCGUUGUCACCUUAAGAGAAAUCAAAGUUUUUGGGUUCCGGGGGGAGUAUGGUCGCAAGGCUGAAACUUAAAGGAAUUGACAGAAGGGCACCACCAGGAGUGGAUCUUGCGGCUUAAUUUGACUCAACACGGGGAAACUUACCAGGUCCAGACAUAGUAAGGAUUGACAGACUGAGAGCUCUUUCUUGAUUCUAUGGGUGGUGGUGCAUGGCCCUUCUUAGUUGGUGGAGCGAUUUGUCUGGUUAAUUCCGUUAAUGAACGAGACCUCAGCCUGCUAACAAGAAACGUGGAGGCAUCCCUUCACCGCUGGCUUUUUAGAGGCCAAGGAAGUUUGAGGCAAUAACAGGCCUGUCAUGCCCUUAGAUGUUCUGGGCCGCAUGCGCGCUACACUGAUGUAUUCAACAAGUUCACACCUUGGCCGACAGGGCCGGGUAAUCUUUGAAAUUUCAUCGUGAUGGGGAUAGAUCAUUGCAAUUGUUGGUCUUCAACGAGGAAUUCCUAGUAAGCGCGAGUCAUCAGCUUGUGUUGACUACGUCCCUGCCCUUUGUACACACCGCCCGUCGCUCCUACCAAUUGAAUGAUCCGGUGAAGUGUUUGGAUCACGGCUACAUGGGUGGUUCGCCGUCUGCGACGUCGCGAGAAGUCCACUAAACCUUAUCAGUUAGAGGAAGGAGAAGUCGUAACAAGGUUUCCGUAGGUGAACCUGCGGAAG